UACGUAGGGUGCGAGCGUUGUCCGGAAUUAUUGGGCGUAAAGGGCUCGUAGGCGGUUUGUCGCGUCGGGAGUGAAAACACCGGGCUUAACUCGGUGCUGGCUUUCGAUACGGGCAGACUAGAGGUAUUCAGGGGAGAACGGAACUCCUGGUGUAGCGGUGAAAUGCGCAGAUAUCAGGAGGAACACCGGUGGCGAAGGCGGUUCUCUGGGAAUGUCCUGACGCUGAGGAGCGAAAGUGUGGGGAGCGAACAGG
This 253-nucleotide ribosomal RNA is filed under the name uncultured bacterium. RNAcentral describes it as "partial 16S ribosomal RNA". It matches the Rfam family "Bacterial small subunit ribosomal RNA", at positions 524 to 776 of the family's 1533-position model. The record is from RNAcentral.